Molecule: ribosomal RNA, 2036 nt
Filed under: Triticum aestivum (bread wheat)
Lineage: Eukaryota; Viridiplantae; Streptophyta; Magnoliopsida; Poales; Poaceae
Description: partial small subunit ribosomal RNA
Source: RNAcentral
CUGCAUUAUUUUCUCUCUCUCCCUCCCCCCUCCGCCUCCCCGCUUAUUCUCUCUCCCCCUUCCUACUCUCUGUCCCCCGUCUGCUCCAUUUCUGCUCUGCGCGCUCCCCUCCCCACCCCACCCACUCCCCCCAUUCCGUCGGCGCAGCAGGCGAGCGGAGCUCACUCCCAAGAGAAGAUGUCCGCCAUCCCCUCGAGGAGCUGAUUCAAGGUGUAGAAACAUGGGUUCUAGAUUUCCAUCACAUCAGCUGAGCAGUGGCCUUUAUGUAUCUGGCCGACCUGAGCAACCUAAGGAGAAGGCCCCGACCUUUGGAUCCAAUGUGAUGCCAUACACUGGUGGUGACACCAAGAAAUCUGGGGAGCUUGGGAAGAUGUUUGAGCUCCAUGCUGAAAGAUCUAGAAAAUCUGGUCCUCUAGGCAGUGCGCCUUCGAGAAAUCCUUCAUUUGGCGGUGCUGCUUCCAACUCUGGACCUGUGUCUAAUGCUGGUGGUCGGUCAAACUACUCUGGUUCUCUUUCAUCUUCAGUUCCUGGCGCCGGAGGAUCAGCAAGAGCAAAAUCUAACUCCGGACCACUCAAUAAGCAUGGAGAACCAGUAAAGAGGUCAUCUGGUCCCCAGUCUGGAGGUGUGACCCCAAUGGCUCGCCAGAAUUCCGGCCCUCUCCCUCCAAUGCUUCCUACGACUGGGCUUAUCACAUCUGGCCCUGUUACUUCUGGACCACUGAAUUCGUCUGGUGCCCCAAGAAGGAAAGUAUCUGGAUCUCUUGAUCCUGCUGCAUCGAUGAAGGCACGGGCCACAUCACUUGCUCACAACCAGGCUGUUACUACACUCACCAGUGAAGGUGGUUUCUCAGUUAUGGGAAGCAUUUCAAAGUGGGUAUUCUGGCUAGUGAUCACACUCUUGCUGUUCGGGUUUGCAGUAGGUCUCUUCAUUCUUAUUGCUGUUCACAAUGCGAUUGUGCUGAUAGUUGUUGUUGCAAUGAUUGGUUCUGUUGCUGCACUUGUGUCUUGGAAUGUUUGGCGGGGCAGGAGAGGCGUGCUCAGGUUUGUCAAUAGCUGUCCUGAUACUGAUCUCAGAACUGCAAAGGAUGGAGAGUAUGUGAAGGUUACAGGGGUUGUUACGUGUGGAAAUUUCCCCCUGGAGUCCUCAUUUCAAAGGAUUCCGAGAUGUGUGUACACUUCAACUAGGCUGUAUGAGUAUAGGGGCUGGGAUUCAAAAACUGCAAACCCCAAGCAUCGCCGGUUUACCUGGGGAUUACGGACAGCAGAGCGACAUGCGGUCGAUUUCUACAUUUCAGAUUUUCAGUCUGGGCUUCGAGCAUUGGUGAGAACAGGAAGCGGUGCACGGGUGACACCAUAUGUCGAUGAAUCGGUAGUAAUUGACGUCAAUCCUGAGAACAAGGACAUGUCUCCUGAAUUUCUAAGAUGGCUACGAGAAAGGAAUCUCUCAAGUGAUGGUCGGAAAAUGCGCCUAAAAGAAGGAUACAUCAAGGAAGGCAGCACUGUGAGUGUGAUGGGGGUCGUUCAAAAGAAUGAGAGCGUCUUGAUGAUAGUACCUCCAUCAGAGCCCAUCUCAUCUGGUUGCCAGUGGGGGAGUUGUUUCUUCCCAGCAAACCUUGAAGGACUAGUCGUGAGAUGUGAAGAUACUUCAGACAUGGAUGUCAUACCAGUAUAGCAAGCUGAUGAUUGCCGUGGUGUGGAAUAGCUGCUGUUGAAGAGGGAACGUUGGCCUGUCGAAUCGGGUUGGGUUUGAUUGGUAGAGUAUUAGAACUGAGAAAAAAAUGUACAAAUGUUAGGUGUGAUUAAGGCUAGUAAAGAUGGGAGUAUGGCUGCUGGUUAAUCUGUGUUUGGCUGUAUAGUCCUUUUUCAAUGUGUUUUGUCCUCCUUCGCUCCUGUUUUUUCGGUUAUGAGCUCUCAAUACUUGUGUAAUAUGAUUGCUUUUGGGCUGUUUGAAGACAUGUUGAAUCGGGUUUAUGUGUUAUUUAGGAUGAACUUCUUGCACUGCUGUUAAAGCCUAAAUAUAUUGUUGCUGUUACAUU